Molecule: long non-coding RNA, 664 nt
Filed under: Cyanistes caeruleus (blue tit)
Lineage: Eukaryota; Metazoa; Chordata; Aves; Passeriformes; Paridae
Description: lncRNA (ENSCCEG00000024164.1)
Source: RNAcentral
AAUCACUGACAUGUAAGUUUUAAAGACCAGAUUGUAGGAUAUCUACUAGCUGUUUUUAUCUGGAAGUACAGAGCACUAGCAGCGUUUGUGAUUUAUCAGGCUCUGCAAAGAACAGGCUGGUUUCUUAAACACACUACAACACUUGUCUGUCCUAGGUGAGAGCUGGUUCUUGGGCCGCUGCUGAAUUUUCAGAUUAGUGGGAUAGAUGCUGCAUCCUCUGUGGGGACAGUGAGGUCAAUGUCCUGAUGAUCAAGGAGUCGUGCAAGGAGGAUUUUGUGUAAAUCCAGAAAUCUGGCAAGUGUGGUUUAAGGUUCAAGCCCCCAGUAGGAGCCUCCUGGCAAGCAGAAACUGAUGCAGCUCUUGCAGAUGCUCGUAAACAUCUAGUGUUGGUCAUGGGCUGUGGCAGGUUCUCCAAGUCAUCAUUCACACAACUUGCUUUAUGUGAUCACUGUUCUGUUCUCACGUCCAAGAUGCCAUUUAGUUUGAACUUGAACAAGGAAUUUUGCUUUUGGUAAUGUAAACUAAGGUUGUUUCAGUUUGUUUCCUUCUUGCCACUUCCCACCUCUAAGGUUUAUAUGUUUUUGAAAUCAGCCUUCUGGAAGAACAUGAAACACCACAUACAAUAACUGUAAUGAAGUUACUUGUCAGUGAACUAAAAUUCUGA